CCUACGGGAGGCAGCAGUCGAGAAUCAUUCACAAUGGGGGAAACCCUGAUGGUGCGACGCCGCGUGGGGGAAUGAAGGUCUUCGGAUUGUAAACCCCUGUCAUGUGGGAGCAAAUUAAAAAGAUAGUACCACAAGAGGAAGAGACGGCUAACUCUGUGCCAGCAGCCGCGGUAAUACAGAGGUCUCAAGCGUUGUUCGGAAUCACUGGGCGUAAAGCGUGCGUAGGCUGUUUCGUAAGUCGUGUGUGAAAGGUGCGGGCUCAACCCGCGGACGGCACAUGAUACUGCGAGACUAGAGUAAUGGAGGGGGAACCGGAAUUCUCGGUGUAGCAGUGAAAUGCGUAGAUAUCGAGAGGAACACUCGUGGCGAAGGCGGGUUCCUGGACAUUAACUGACGCUGAGGCACGAAGGCCAGGGGAGCGAAAGGGAUUAGAUACCCGUGUAGUC
This 446-nucleotide ribosomal RNA is filed under the name uncultured bacterium. Its description in RNAcentral is "partial 16S ribosomal RNA". It matches the Rfam family "Bacterial small subunit ribosomal RNA", at positions 338 to 795 of the family's 1533-position model. The record is from RNAcentral.